GGGUAUAUAGCUCAGUGGUAGAGCAUUUGGCUGUAGACCGAGAGGUCUCCGGUUAGAACCCGGGUGUCCCCU
This is a non-coding RNA of Trichonephila inaurata madagascariensis, 72 nucleotides long. The record is from the annotation of a GenBank genome assembly. NCBI's taxonomy places the organism in Eukaryota, Metazoa, Arthropoda, Arachnida, Araneae, Nephilidae.